UUGAUAGUGUUGAAGGCUGAAAUACUCCCUCCAUAGAGCAGAGAACAGGUAGUGGCAGUUCAAGCAUCUCUCUACUGCCCCAUCCUUGUGCCUCAACCCUAUGUUCAGGAACCACCUCUGGAGGAAAUGAAUAUAGCUUAGUUGUCAUGCCUAUUUAAUCAUUGGUUUUG
RNAcentral lists this small RNA (170 nucleotides) under Chelonoidis abingdonii (Abingdon island giant tortoise). Its description in RNAcentral is "TUC338 (ENSCABG00000019161.1)". The record is from RNAcentral. Lineage: Eukaryota; Metazoa; Chordata; Testudines; Testudinidae.